This 253-nucleotide ribosomal RNA is filed under the name uncultured bacterium. RNAcentral's name for it is "partial 16S ribosomal RNA". It matches the Rfam family "Bacterial small subunit ribosomal RNA", at positions 524 to 776 of the family's 1533-position model. The record is from RNAcentral.
UACGUACUGUGCGAACGUUAUUCGGAAUCACUGGGCUUAAAGGGUGCGUAGGCGGCCGCCUAAGUAGGGUGUGAAAGCUCUCGGCUCAACCGAGGAAUUGCGCUCUAAACUGGACGGCUUGAGUGAGAUAGGGGUGUGCGGAACUUCCAGUGGAGCGGUGAAAUGUGUUGAUAUUGGAAGGAACACCGGUGGCGAAAGCGGCACACUGGGUCUUAACUGACGCUGAGGCACGAAAGCCAGGGGAGCGAACGGG